UACGUAGGUGGCAAGCGUUGUCCGGAUUUACUGGGCGUAAAGAGCGCGCAGGCGGUCGUACAAGUCGCGUGUGAAAGCCCCCGGCUCAACUGGGGAGGGUCACGCGAUACUGUUCGACUCGAAGGCAGGAGAGGGAAGCAGAAUUCCCGGUGUAGUGGUGAAAUGCGUAGAUAUCGAGAGGAAUACCAGUGGCGAAGGCGGCUUCCUGGCCUGUUCUUGACGCUGAGGCGCGAAAGCUAGGGUAGCAAACGGG
This 253-nucleotide ribosomal RNA is filed under the name uncultured bacterium. RNAcentral describes it as "partial 16S ribosomal RNA". It matches the Rfam family "Bacterial small subunit ribosomal RNA", at positions 524 to 776 of the family's 1533-position model. The record is from RNAcentral.